AGUGAACGCUGGCGGUAGGCCUGACACAUGCAAGUCGAACGGCAGCACAGUAAGAGCUUGCUCUUACGGUUGGCGAGUGGCGGACGGGUGAGGAAUACAUCGGAAUCUACUUUUUCGUGGGGGAUAACGUAGGGAAACUUACGCUAAUACCGCAUACGACCUACGGGUGAAAGCAGGGGAUCUUCGGACCUUGCGCGAUUGAAUGAGCCGAUGUCGGAUUAGCUAGUUGGCGGGGUAAAGGCCCACCAAGGCGACGAUCCGUAGCUGGUCUGAGAGGAUGAUCAGCCACACUGGAACUGAGACACGGUCCAGACUCCUACGGGAGGCAGCAGUGGGGAAUAUUGGACAAUGGGCGCAAGCCUGAUCCAGCCAUACCGCGUGGGUGAAGAAGGCCUUCGGGUUGUAAAGCCCUUUUGUUGGGAAAGAAAAGCAGCAGGUUAAUACCCCGCUGUUCUGACGGUACCCAAAGAAUAAGCACCGGCUAACUUCGUG
Molecule: ribosomal RNA, 492 nt
Filed under: uncultured bacterium
Lineage: Bacteria
Description: partial 16S ribosomal RNA
Rfam family: Bacterial small subunit ribosomal RNA
Source: RNAcentral